Molecule: long non-coding RNA, 1127 nt
Organism: Pygoscelis adeliae (Adelie penguin)
Lineage: Eukaryota; Metazoa; Chordata; Aves; Sphenisciformes; Spheniscidae
Exons: 5
Source: RefSeq, a predicted model, not a curated record
ACUGACACAGUUGAAAACAGCGAGCUUUUGGGCUCAAAAAGCUUAGACCAUCAUGGCUACGAAAACUACUGCUACUCAGAAAAUAUGUAAUUCUGGAACUCCUUAGUGAAAAAGUAGUGCAAGGCAACAUGAGAGACAGCAUGGAAUUGGAAGAGAAGCGGGGAUCUCCAUGAAGGGCAGUCUACUACAGUCUUGGUGUGUGGAGGAACAGGUUCCAUUCUCGCUGUUGUUACUCCCACAUAGGCGGACUCUGUAAUUGAUUGUGUGUGGGUAGGGCCCUAUUGAAAUUAAGGAGAUUCUGCAAUAGUGCAGGGUUCUUUUUGUGAAAGUUCAGUUGCAAGAUCAGGACUCUACUGUGACUCCUUACUGUGAAUUCUGUCAGUAUAUCAUUGAUUGUGCUGGAACCUGCCUUUUGGGAUAAUUACCAAAUAAUAUAUUCCUCAAAACUUCUUAAUGGCACUGAGGCUUUGUGGAUAGUUGGUCACAUGAUGAGAAAAUUCAGCUGCCCAUCAAGACUACUACUACCUGAUACCUCUCCUUCAGUAUCAAGAGGUUGACUCUGGUUUUGAUCAACAUAUGAUGCCAGCUUCCAUCAUUCGGUCAUUAAAUUUUCAGACCACACUGGAUAUUUUCUCCUCAGCUGCCUCUCAUGUAUUGGUUGACUUCUUCAUAAACAGAACUGUUCACUAUCUUCCUUUAAAUAUCUUUUAAAAAGUUUUAUGUAUUGUGAAGCUUAAAACAAUCAAACUAGACAACAGUUAUAUUGCAGGUAUAUUAAUGCCAACGCUUACCACAGUAGUACUGUGUCAUUGCAUUUUUACUCUGCCAUAAUUUCUCUGUUGUCUCUUUAUGUAGAAUUCAAGUACAUCUACUUUUUGUUGUGUGUUUAUUCAUGGCCCAGCAUAAUGAGAAGUGGUCCAGAGUGAGGGCUCCCAAGAUUUAUGGUAAUACAAAUAAAUAAUAAUAAAUACCCACUGGAUACUGCAGUGUAGCUGUUGGAUUCUGCUGUGCCUAAUGUCACAUCAUAUUUAAUGCAGAAAGAAGGUGCUCCAACUAGAGGCCUCACAAAAGGGAAAGAAGUGAGUUGCAGCCAACAGAUAAAAUGCUAGCCCCGGAGGCCUUCUCAA